GGUUGUGGUCAUACCACCCUGAGCACAUCUGAUCUUGUCUGAUCUCUGAGGCUAAGCAGGGUCAGCCCUGAUUAAUCCAGAGAUAUUGCUGAUUCAAUUCCAGACUACUAUAGUAA
RNAcentral lists this ribosomal RNA (116 nucleotides) under Otolemur garnettii (small-eared galago). Lineage: Eukaryota; Metazoa; Chordata; Mammalia; Primates; Galagidae. The record is from RNAcentral.